Mytilus californianus (California mussel) is the source of this 4122-nucleotide long non-coding RNA. RefSeq lists it as uncharacterized. NCBI's taxonomy places the organism in Eukaryota, Metazoa, Mollusca, Bivalvia, Mytilida, Mytilidae. The record is from RefSeq and is a predicted model, not a curated record. The transcript is spliced from 2 exons.
CAGCAUUAAUCCAAUUAAUGGCAGCUACAGCAGCUAAGAGGGAUGUAUGCUAUUAUACUUUUGAUGAUGAAAGACUAAAGAAUGAUAUAUUCAAUAUACACCAAUAUCUUACUGUCACAAAUCCUUUAGGUAUAGGUACCAUUUUGAAUUUGAUAGAAAGGUAUGAAGGAGUGUUAAGAAAGUCACGGAGGAAACCAAAUAUGAACUUAUUUGAAUAUAUUGUCAAAGUUUUUGAUGGAUCUCUAGAAAACACUGAUAGUGAACCUGACUCUCCUGCUAUUGAAAGAGAAAUGUCACGGGAAAUGUUGUACAGUAAGGAAUCUUGCAUGGGUGAAGAAGCUGUUUCAAAGAACUCAGUGAAGCGACAGUUAUCUGAAGAUUACAAAGCUACCACACCUUAGGUAAAGGAAAAAGAAGACAUAUAUGAACAAAUCAUUAGGCUUCUAAGUUUGCAACAUAUGAGCUGCUUGAAUAUAUUAUAAAACUAUUUUGACAUUCAGUUUGGGAUACUCGAAAGAAAAGCUGCACAUAAGAGAUGAUGCUUUGGUAUUAAAAUUGUUCAAAGGAAACAAUAUAAGAAACUGGAGAAGUUUUUAGAAAUCCCUUACAAUCUGAUGUUCUGUCAUGUCAUUUCUUAUAAUUCUAAUCAAGACAAAAACUUUUUUAAUUAGUUAUGCCCCCUCCGUAGCGGAGGGGGCAUUAAGUUUUACCCUUGACCGUCUGUACAUCCUUUCGUCCCAAAAUUGGUUUCCGUUCACUAACUUUAGUUUGCCUCAAUCAAAUGUUAUGAAACUUAUCCACAAUGCUUAUUACCACAAAAGACAGAUCGAGUAUGCAUUUUGGUGGCAUCACUUUUACCGUUCGAGAGUUAUGCCCCUUUACAAAUGGAAAAAUUGCUGAAUUUUUCCUUUCCCUUCUCUAACUUUAGUUUGCCUCAACCAAAUGUUAUGAAACUUAUCCACAAUGUUUAUUACCACAAAAAACAGAUCAAGUUUGAAUUUUGGUGGUGUCACUUUCACCGUUCUAAAGUUAUGCCCCUUUACAAAUGGAAAAAUCGCUGAAUUUUUCUUUUCUGUUCUCUAAUUUAAGUUUACGUCAACUAAAUGUUAUGAAACUUAUAAACAAUGCUAAUUACCACAAAACUCAGAUCAAGUUCAAAUUUGGGUAGUGUCACUUUUACGGUUCUUGAGUUAUGGCCCUUUAUAACGUUAUAUGCAAGCGGGGGCAUCAUCUGUGUCCCAUGGACACAUUCCCCAUUUAUUGUUGAAUUAUUUAGUCAAGAAAUUUUAUGAUGAUUAUCUAACAAAGCUGAAAAAUGAUAUUAUGUUAGAUUGGUUCAUGGUUUUUAUUGAUAUAAACUUAAAAGAUGGAAAACAAUUGAACAAGAAUGUUCUUUGAUCCUAUUGUAGAAGUAAAGACUAAUUUUCAUGUUAAGUUAAUGUCUUUUUUCCAUCCUUGUCAACUGAUAAAUUUAUUGUCAAGUUCAUUUAUGUAUGAACACUCUUUGUUAUUAGGUUACAUAUAGACUAUUUAACUGGUUCAUAGAUACUUGAUUUUAAUCAACAUAGUGGAUUGGAUAAAUAAAAGGAUUUUGUCUUUGCAUCAGUCUAUCUGCUUUCUUUUUGUUUAUGUGAGAAGUUAAGUGAAAAUGAUUUGAUUCAAUUUUUUAAAACUACUCUUUAUCUCUUCAUAUUGGUUUAAUCUGGUUCUAGAACUUUGGUGUUGUUGGAGCAUUCCAGAAAUAUCUAUAGAUAUUGUAUGAGGCAGGGGCCAGUGUUAAGAUUAUUUUCAGUCAUUACGAUCAGUAAUUCUUAUGUAAUUUUCUUGCAAUGAAAUAAUGCAAUAUAUUAUAUAAAAAAAACCAUUUGAUAAGUACUGCUAUGUUUGCUUGUAACUGAUCAUCUCUUUAUUUAAUUUUGAUAUGGCAGCUAUUAACUUACUAUCAGUUUAUAUAAUUGAUAACUAUCUUUUUUUGUUAUAAGUGGUACUAGUUAUCUAUUUGCAAUUUGAAUGGAGAAGAUAUGGUAUGAUUUGGGGCUUUUUUGCACUGUUAAUUUCACUGAAAAUAAAACAUAUGAGAUCAUUACUUAUCACAUUUUUGAAGAAGAAAGACUUUAAAAAAAAUUGAAUAUAUACCAAGCCUUUGAUGACACAAUUUGCCUGUGACAUCAUAAAAGUGACUUUAUAAGUAAAAUUUUCAGUUUUUUGCAAAAAAUACAAACAAAAUUUUACAAACAUUUUGGCUAAAUUAAUAUAAAACAUAUGGUUAAGUAUUGUGAAAAUAUGUGUAUAAAUGUGCCUUCUACAGUUCCCCAUAUGAUAGAAUAUGAAGCAUUCUUGGUUAUGUAUUCAAAAGCUUUCAUUAAAAUGUUGUGAUUGGCUAACAACAUCCAAAUCAAUGGAUAUUCAACCAAUGAUGUGAUGUUAUUUUUAUUUCGGUGCACUUACAAUGAGAUUACCCAUAAUCCUUUAGAUUCUGAAAAGACAUAUUUGAUGAUGGAAAAGUAAAAUUGUCAGAUCUGAUGAAUGUUUAAAAAAAAUACCAUAGACUGAAUUCCCCUUUUCAAUUUGAAGAGUUUUAUAAAUGAGCUUUAUAUGGCAAUGAAAAUUUUUCAUUUUUUGAAAUGAAUAAUUUUAAAACAACAUUAAAAAUGACUUGAUGACAAACUGUUUUAUAAUUUUAAUUGUAAAUAUUUAUUUGUAGAUAAUAUUUUUGUUUGUAAUUUUAAUUUAUUAUACUACACUGUAGAAGGUCAGUGCUGUGAAAAUGUUGAUAUGGUUGUGUCAAGAAACUUAUUGGUUAUCAUGAUCAAGAUAUAUAUAUUAAGAUAAGUUUUCUUACUGUAUUAGUGUGCAUAAAAUGUUAUUCAUGAUGAAAUGAAUGAAAAGAAAUGUCAUUAUUUUAUAUUCUAUAAAAGGUUUUUUUAUUUGUGGAUGCCAAGUUUCAUAGUUUAUUGAACAUCACUAUUGUUUCAUUGGUUCCUUGUCAAAUUGACAUAAAAUACUUCAAUAGUCCCUGUUUUGUGGAAAAUUUGAUCAACUAAGAAAAUAAUUAAGAUGGGUUCCCUAGGAAUAGGAUAUAAUAUGUCCCACUGUAAUUAUUGUGUCUCAUGACAGUUGAUGUUUAGGGAUACAGAGGAAUAAAUCAAAGUGCUUUGUCUUAGUGUCUGUCCUGUCUGUCUGUAAUUACUUCUGCUGUCUCGCAUCAUCUUUGUCUUCCGUGUCACACUGUUAGUUUUUCUGCAUCUCUGUAACAGAAUUCCACUAAACAUGCAUAGAUUUGUGUAAUUAAGUAUUGAAUCCUUUGUAUGUUUUUAUAUCUAUGGGAUAUUGUUAAGGUAGUUUGAGAGUCUUCCGCCAUCUUGGAUUGUAAAAUAGAAGAACACAAUCGGUUUAGAUCUUUAAUUAAAAGUGCAAAUUUUGUGAGACGAAUGCAAUUCUUUUGUUAGUCUUUUCAUCUUAAUGAAAAAAAAUAUGUGUUUUAUUAUAUUUUCUCAACAGUUUUUUACAAAUACAAAGUAUUUUUUGUUUUUGAUUCAAUUUGUUACAACUUUGUCAUAUAAGGGGAGAUAACUCUGAUAAUGUACUUUUUAUAAAGUAAUAUAUUAUGAAUUUAGGUAUUUUGUUUUGUAUCGAGAAAAACAAGUGCCAUGACCCCAAUUUUUAUUUUUAUUUUCUGAAAGCACAUUAUAAGAGCUAUCUUCUCAUAAAUUUAAUUUAAAAAUUUGAUUGUUUAGUUUUCUUUUUAUCGCAAAAGAUUAGGUUUUCCAUGUAUAAUCUAUACAAAAUCUGACAAUUUUGCACAACCUGUAGCUUGAUAAAAAGCCCUGUGACCCAUACUUUUUAUUUUGUUUUUGAAAAAAGAUUACUUCAAACUGCAUUUUUACACAUAAUUAGAAAAUUCUAUCGAUUUUAAUUUAUACCCCCAUCUACCUUAAGAGUAUAUUUAAUCUAAUUUUUAGUAUUGACUGAGAUAUAAUAAGUAGUAUGUAUGCACUAAGGUGUAAAUUAAUUCAUUUGAAUGAAAGAUGUACAAUCAACACUUGUAAGUUUUUUCAAAGAAAUGCAAUACAGACAUAUGUAAUAGUGCUAACUCUUACAAUAAAUCAACCUGUUCAAUGA